AUACGGAGGAUCCGAGCGUUAUCCGGAUUUAUUGGGUCUAAAGGGAGCGUAGGCGGACGCCUAAGUCAGUUGUGAAAGCCCCGGGCUCAACCUGGGAAUUGCAUUCAAGACUGGUUAGGUAGAGUCUCGUAGAGGGGGGUAGAAUUCCAUGUGUAGCGGUGAAAUGCGUAGAGAUAUGGAGGAAUACCGGUGGCGAAGGCGGCCCCCUGGACGAAGACUGACGCUCAGGUGCGAAAGCGUGGGGAGAAAACAGGAUUAUAUACCCUGGUAGUCCACGCCGUAAACGAUGAAUGCUAGGUGUAGGGGGUAUCGACUCCCUCUGUGCCGCAGUUAACACAAUAAGUAUUCCGCCUGGGGAGUACGGCCUCAAGGUGGAAACUCAAAGGAAUUGACGGGG
This 397-nucleotide ribosomal RNA is filed under the name uncultured bacterium. Its description in RNAcentral is "partial 16S ribosomal RNA". It matches the Rfam family "Bacterial small subunit ribosomal RNA", at positions 523 to 918 of the family's 1533-position model. The record is from RNAcentral.